GGUCUAAUAGUGUAGAGGUUAGCACACGGGAUUUUGAUUCAUCCCUACUUUCCAAUCUUCCCGUAACCCAGGUUCGAGUCCUGGUUAGACCU
Lentinula raphanica is the source of this 92-nucleotide non-coding RNA. NCBI's taxonomy places the organism in Eukaryota, Fungi, Basidiomycota, Agaricomycetes, Agaricales, Omphalotaceae. The record is from the annotation of a GenBank genome assembly.